AUGCAAGUCGAGCGGUAGCACAGAGAGCUUGCUCUCGGGUGACGAGCGGCGGACGGGUGAGUAAUGUCUGGGAAACUGCCUGAUGGAGGGGGAUAACUACUGGAAACGGUAGCUAAUACCGCAUAAUGUCGCAAGACCAAAGUGGGGGACCUUCGGGCCUCAUGCCAUCAGAUGUGCCCAGAUGGGAUUAGCUAGUAGGUGGGGUAACGGCUCACCUAGGCGACGAUCCCUAGCUGGUCUGAGAGGAUGACCAGCCACACUGGAACUGAGACACGGUCCAGACUCCUACGGGAGGCAGCAGUGGGGAAUAUUGCACAAUGGGCGCAAGCCUGAUGCAGCCAUGCCGCGUGUGUGAAGAAGGCCUUCGGGUUGUAAAGCACUUUCAGCGGGGAGGAAGGCGUCAAGGUUAAUAACCUUGGCGAUUGACGUUACCCGCAGAAGAAGCACCGGCUAACUCCGUGCCAGCAGCCGCGGUAAUACGGAGGGUGCAAGCGUUAAUCGGAAUUACUGGGCGUAAAGCGCACGCAGGCGGUCUGUCAAGUCGGAUGUGACUCCCCGGGCUCAACCUGGGAACUGCAUUCGAAACUGGCAGGCUAGAGUCUUGUAGAGGGGGGUAGAAUUCCAGGUGUAGCGGUGAAAUGCGUAGAGAUCUGGAGGAAUACCGGUGGCGAAGGCGGCCCCCUGGACAAAGACUGACGCUCAGGUGCGAAAGCGUGGGGAGCAAACAGGAUUAGAUACCCUGGUAGUCCACGCCGUAAACGAUGUCGAUUUGGAGGUUGUGCCCUUGAGGCGUGGCUUCCGGAGCUAACGCGUUAAAUCGACCGCCUGGGGAGUACGGCCGCAAGGUUAAAACUCAAAUGAAUUGACGGGGGCCCGCACAAGCGGUGGAGCAUGUGGUUUAAUUCGAUGCAACGCGAAGAACCUUACCUGGUCUUGACAUCCACAGAACUUAGCAGAGAUGCUUUGGUGCCUUCGGGAACUGUGAGACAGGUGCUGCAUGGCUGUCGUCAGCUCGUGUUGUGAAAUGUUGGGUUAAGUCCCGCAACGAGCGCAACCCUUAUCCUUUGUUGCCAGCGGUCCGGCCGGGAACUCAAAGGAGACUGCCAGUGAUAAACUGGAGGAAGGUGGGGAUGACGUCAAGUCAUCAUGGCCCUUACGACCAGGGCUACACACGUGCUACAAUGGCAUAUACAAAGAGAAGCGACCUCGCGAGAGCAAGCGGACCUCAUAAAGUAUGUCGUAGUCCGGAUUGGAGUCUGCAACUCGACUCCAUGAAGUCGGAAUCGCUAGUAAUCGUAGAUCAGAAUGCUACGGUGAAUACGUUCCCGGGCCUUGUACACACCGCCCGUCACACCAUGGGAGUGGGUUGCAAAAGAAGUAGGUAGCUUAACCUUCGGGAGGGCGC
This 1405-nucleotide ribosomal RNA is filed under the name uncultured bacterium. Its description in RNAcentral is "bacterial SSU rRNA". It matches the Rfam family "Bacterial small subunit ribosomal RNA". The record is from RNAcentral.